AUACGAAGGGUGCAAGCGUUAAUCGGAAUUACUGGGCGUAAAGCGCGCGUGGGUGGUUUUGUAAGUUGGAGGUGAAAGCCCCGGGCUCAACCUGGGAAUUGCCUCCAAAACUGCAUGACUAGAGUACGGUAGAGGGUAGUGGAAUUUCCUGUGUAGCGGUGAAAUGCGUAGAUAUAGGAAGGAACACCAGUGGCGAAGGCGACUACCGGGACUGAUACUGAAACUGAGGUGCGAAAGGGUGGGGAGCAACAAGGAUUAAAUCCCCUGGUAGUCCACGCCGUAAACGAUGUCAACUAGCCGUUGGGAUCCUUGAGAUCUUAGUGGCGCAGCUAACGCAUUAAGUUGACCGCCUGGGGAGUACGGCCGCAAGGUUAAAACUCAAAGGAAUUGACGGGG
Molecule: ribosomal RNA, 396 nt
Filed under: uncultured bacterium
Lineage: Bacteria
Description: partial 16S ribosomal RNA
Rfam family: Bacterial small subunit ribosomal RNA
Source: RNAcentral